RNAcentral lists this small RNA (576 nucleotides) under Pan troglodytes (chimpanzee). RNAcentral's name for it is "retained intron". Lineage: Eukaryota; Metazoa; Chordata; Mammalia; Primates; Hominidae. The record is from RNAcentral.
ACUUCCAGGGCCGGGCUUCUCCUCACACCAGCCAGACAGCCUACCCUCCGCCCAGGGGAAGCGGCUGCCUCCGCCAGGCCGCUUCCAGGAAGCCCCGGGCCAGGCCCCAGCAUUGUUCAGGCCCUGGGGCCAGCACCCCAGCCAGCCGAACACCAUGAAGUCCAGCGGCCCUGUGGAGAGGCUGCUCAGAGCCCUGGGGAGGAGGGACAGCAGCCGGGCCACAAGCAGGCCUAGGAAAGCUGAGCCUCAUAGCUUCCGGGAGAAGGUUUUCCGGAAGAAACCUCCAGUCUGUGCAGUAUGUAAGGUGACCAUCGAUGGGACAGGCGUUUCGUGCAGAGUCUGCAAGGUGGCGACGCACAGAAAAUGUGAAGCAAAGGUGACUUCAGCCUGUCAGGCCUUGCCUCCCGUGGAGUUGGUGAGUGCGCUCUGGGAUGGGGUGGGGAGGGCAAGGAACCUGGCCAUGGUGUCCAGAGGUCUGGUGGCUCCAGAGAGGGCCCCCAGGAGAUGACCUUGAACGGAGUGCUGUGGGUAUUGCUCAUCCUACGAGGAAAGAAAAAACUGUCUGAGUCCUCUGCU